CCUACGGGAGGCAGCAGUGGGGGAUAUUGCACAAUGGGGGGAACCCUGAUGCAGCGACGCCGCGUGGGUGAAGGAGUGCUUCGGCAUGUAAAGCCCUAUCGGCAGGGAAGAAGCAAGACGGUACCUGACUAAGAAGCCCCGGCUAACUACGUGCCAGCAGCCGCGGUAAUACGUAGGGGGCGAGCGUUAUCCGGAUUCACUGGGUGUAAAGGGAGCGUAGACGGCGAAGCAAGCCAGAAGUGAAAGCCCGGGGCCCAACCCCGGGACUGCCUUUGGAACUGUGCGGCUAGAGUGCGGGAGGGGCAGGCGGAAUUCCUAGUGUAGCGGUGAAAUGCGUAGAUAUCAGGAGGAACACCAGCGGCGAAGGCGGCCUACUGGACUGCGACUGACGUUGAGGCUCGAAAGCGUGGGGAGCGAACAGGAUUAGAUACCCUUGUAGUC
Molecule: ribosomal RNA, 441 nt
Filed under: uncultured bacterium
Lineage: Bacteria
Description: partial 16S ribosomal RNA
Rfam family: Bacterial small subunit ribosomal RNA
Source: RNAcentral